Non-coding RNA from Durio zibethinus, 4171 nucleotides. NCBI's taxonomy places the organism in Eukaryota, Viridiplantae, Streptophyta, Magnoliopsida, Malvales, Malvaceae. The record is from RefSeq and is a predicted model, not a curated record.
CCUUUUUCUGCCACGUGUACAAAACAACUUGACCGUUGACCGGUCACCUCCACCAACGAACUACUAGAAACAUUAACCAUUUUUUUCCCUUCGCAAGUCGCCGGGACUCAACUUUGUUGAUUCACUUUUAGUUGAUACUCACACAAAAUUCCAUUGUACGGACGCAUUACGGUAUCUUUUUUUCUUCUUCUCUUUGAUGUGUGACGAUGGCGGCUUCAGCAGAUAUCAACGGUGGGGAUCAUACGGUGGAACUCAUCGUACUUGGCAACUCCAAAUCGGCGGCUGAUGGUGGCUCAGCCGCGUCUGCUUUGGAGGAGAUUGCACCUCUCUUGACGCAGAGCGAGAGGCCCAAGAUCAACAUUUUCUCGGUCUCUCGUUCCCGAAGAAAACCUAGGGUAAGUCAAGUAAAGCCUUAAUUCUAUUUUUACAUUUUUUUUCUGUUACUUUAAAAUUAUCUAUUGCUGACUGCCUGAAUCUUUAGUUUGUUCUAUGAUUUAUUUUACUUGUUUAUUGGAAACAUUUUGCAUUGAAAUUUGACUGCUUGACUCGAUAAUCCAAUUAUUGUUCUAUUUUUAUUUUUUUUUUUGCUUCUUACAAUUUAUAUUGAAUAUCAAAGGACUUUGUUUGGCCACAUUUUGUUGUUGAACUUCUAAUGCCGCCUUGAGGAAAAGAAAUUUGCAAAAUCAAUAACCAAACAGAAUCCAAGAAAGUACAAUGCAAUUAGUAAAAGCAGCUUUAAUUAUUCUCUUUGCUAUUUCAUUUUCUUAGAAAAGAAUGGAUAAUGUUGCAUUCAAUGAAGUAGCUUAAUGGUUAAAAAAAACAAUUUUAUAUAGAUUUAAAUCAGAGCGAUGUCAAACGACAAUGCUCAUGAAAUUAGGGUUUGUCUGGUUGAUUUAAAUUAUUGGUUAACUAUAUUGCUUAUGCUAAAACUAAUACUAACAUUUGCUUACCAAGAAUGUAAAAAGUAAUAUUGAUUUUUUUUAUGGACUGAAUUUAGGUUAUCCCGUUUGAUCUGUUUGCAGAAGCAAGUGAUACAAGUACCAGAAACAGAUAUAUCUCUGGUUUCAUGGUUUAUUUUGUAUGAAUGGAAUGGAUCCAGAUACUCUGGUCUAGUAUGCAUGGCCCUAACAUCUAUAAUCUACUUUGUCAGGGAAGUUCUUUCUGAUACUUUAACUGGGUUAGUAGGAUUCUGCUCCUCUAUGGCUGAAGUCAGCUGACGAGGCUUGUCAUAGAUCUUGCUCCCCAUGUAAUAGUCCCUUUUCUCCUCUAAAUUAUCUUUUACUCCUAUCCAUGCAACUCUAGUUCUGGUGAAUGAAAUUUUAGGUGUAACCCUAGUUAAUCUAAAUAGAACUGUAUGGGAUAUAAUAGCUAUAAAUUCUAAACAGCAUCAAUCAUUCUUAAGCUUCAAUUACAUAAAUAAAAAUCAAAUUACAUAUUUUCUUUCUCUUUAGUUUAUUGUCCUGCAACUUCAUCAUCCUAAUAAAAUCCAUCGUAAGUUCGUAGGGAAAUUUGAUAUUCUACCGUUGUUUGCUAUAGCCUGAGUGAGUAUGGAUUUAAUUUUAGAACAAUUGAUAAUCAGGAGAGGACCCACUUGAGUAUAAUGUUACAGCAAAACACAAACUCAAUUUUAUGUGGGAUAACAUGAUUUAAUACUCUCCUUAUUUGUAGGUCUCCAUAAAACAGCUAAGAUUAAUGGACUAUCAUGUUGACUACGAAAUGUAUGUAAUAAACAACCCACAAUUUUGCACCUUGUCAACUUGUCGUGUUUCCAACAUAAAACCAGUCAGCUAUAGGCAGGCAGAUUUCAUCCUAAAUCUAAGACCACAAUGAACUCUAAACUCUUAAGUGUUAUUUGAUAAUGCUACUUAGCACUCUCCCUCAUGUGGAGGCCCUAGUAAAAUAAUUGAGACAAAUGAGGUUAUCAUUUCGACUGUGAAAAUUUGCCAACAAACACCAACGACAAUGCGGACAAUAACUUAAGCUCUAAUUCCAUUUUAAGUGUCAAAUAUACAGCUAAUUGAUGGUAGUAGGUGGAGACGUGCAACCUGAGUAUAAGUUUGCAACAAAUUCCAUUCUUGACUAAUGUGGGAUAAUACUACUAGACAUUGGAAGCAGAAUCUCUUUACAUUAAGUAUGUAAUUUUUGGUCAUCAUGUGGAGGAGUGCUUGGUCUUUAUGUGCAUGGAAAAAGAGUAGAAACUCUUUUCACACAUUCUGUUUAAUGGAUUGUAAAAGCUACAAAAUUUUGAGGAAGUGAAAGUUUCAGUUUAUAUGAUUGUUAUUGACUCAUAGGUAUAUAUGUUAUACGGUGCUUCACCUCUUGUAAUUUUAAGCAUUUAUGCUUUCUCUUUCUUUCUAGCUUUUGACAUCUCUUUUCGAUGAUUCCAAAUUAUUUUUGGCAUAAGAUAUUUUUGCACAAAGCUUCCAUUGAUUUAGUUAUCUUUUUUGUUUUAUGAUGGCAGAUCCGUCAAUUCCUUUAUUUGAGACUGCAUUUACAAGAUGCACAGCUACCUUGAUAUUAUCAUAUUUAUGGUUGAGAAGAAGUGAGCAACCAAUUUUUGGAGCAACAUUAUCCUGGAAUCUUUUAGUUUUAAUAGCCCUAGUGGGAUAUCUCUCGUUAUUGAGUUUUAUCUAUUAGUUCACUUCUUAUUCUUGCUUAUCUGCCUUUUUUAGAGUUUGCUUAAAUUGGGGACCCUUUCCCUCUUCUUCUGAAACAGAGAGAGAAUAACCCAAGAAGAAAGGAAAAUAAAAAAGCUUUCAUCAUAUUGGGCUGCUCUCUCUUUAUCUAUUUGAAAAUUUCAUACAGCAUACUCAUCUUGCUAAAGUUAUAAGCUUCCUUUGCAGUUUUGCUAGAUUAUACAGACACGGAUUUUGUUCCAAUGAUACAUAAGGCAUUGAAGAUUUUUUUUGUGUGUUUGUUGGGGAGGGAGGGGUGGUAGGUUUGUCUGCAACCGCAUCAUGUUUAUGCCUGCUUAUAUCAGUUGUUGAGAGUCCUAUCUUUGCAACUUACAAUGACCUGCAAUGCCAUAGUUUUUAUAUAAACUAAUUGAAGCAUUGCUCUACCUGCAAUUGGAAAAUUAAAAUCAUCAGGUUGGCAUAGGACAUAGAUUGUUAACAAGGUAAACAUGAACCUAUCUGUUUGCUAGGAUAGCCACCGUUGGUAUUGGUUUAAAUAAAUUUGAAUAGUUUCACCCUUUACUACAUUCUCAGUUUCCGUACUAGGUUUUGCUUCUUUUUUCAUUUGUCUAGUCGUUGUAAUGUCCCUCCAUUCUUGGACUGCUCUUGCUAUGGCCUGUAAGCUUUAUCCUCGUGAACAAAACUAAGAUAAUGCUCUAGUCAUAACUGAUUUGCUCAAUUUUUUUUUUCAGCAUUCACAGAAUACCUUUCUCUCAGGCUAAUGGAUUAAGCUUUAUCACUCCAAUAAUGGCUUCAGUCAUGGCUAGAAUUGUUUUGCAUGAGAAGUUGAAAAUUACAGAAAUCAGAGGUCUGUUAACAUUUUCUCACCUUCUACCUUGACUUAUGCUAUAAAAUUUGACUUGCCUUACAGUGGUAGGGGUUUGAUUACUUUAUUGAUUAUCAUCGCUUUCCAGCUCUUGCUUGCAAUUUCUUUGGCGUGCUUUUCAUUUUUCUUCAGAUGCUCACUACACAAGGUACAGAAGUGGCAAAUCCGUUAUUGCAAGUCUUUUUCACUCUUCCUGGCAUGGAGCAGGAGGGCUACUUAAAGUUGAGGAAGCAAGCAAUAUAAAUUUCACAGGAAGUCAGCAUUUAUAUGCGGCCUUGAUUGGUUUUUCUUCAUCAAUAACUGGUGGAGUCGGCUACUGUCUCAUAAAGGCUGCAGCAAAGGCUUCAGAUCAACCUGUGUUUUUCAUUUGGCAUUCUGGCUAGCCCUGCUGCAGGAAUAUGCACAUUUGCCUUUGAGGAGUUUGUGCUGCCACGUUUCUAUUCACUCUCUCUUAUGCUUGCACUUGGUAUUCUGUCCUUCUUAGCACAGGUAUUCACUAAUCAUAUUGAUUUUUGGGUUUGGUUAAUGUUUAUGGCCGCCUUGUCACAGUUAUGGGGUAUAGGCACCUCAAGAAUCGCUCCUUCAUUUGGUCGACUUGUUGGGUGCCUACUUAUCUUGAUCUCAGAGUCUGUACUAUGUAUUUUGGACCCGAAAAAGAAAUUGAAUGAGA